GUGUCAGCAGCCGCGGUAAUACGUAGGGGGCAAGCGUUAUCCGGAUUUACUGGGCGUAAAGCGCGUUAAGGCGGCCGGCAAAGUUGGUUGUGAAAUUUCAGGGCUCAACCCUGAAACUGCGUCCAAUACUGGCUGGCUAGAGUGCGAGAGAGGAAGAUGGAAUUCCCGGUGUAGUAGUGAAAUGCGUAGAUAUCGGGAGGAACACCAGUGGCGAAGGCGGUCUUCUGGCUCGCAACUGACGCUGUAGCGCGAAAGCGUGGGGAGCGAACGGGAUUAGAUACCCCGGUAGUCC
This 292-nucleotide ribosomal RNA is filed under the name uncultured bacterium. RNAcentral's name for it is "partial 16S ribosomal RNA". It matches the Rfam family "Bacterial small subunit ribosomal RNA", at positions 505 to 796 of the family's 1533-position model. The record is from RNAcentral.